This is an RNA transcript of Myodes glareolus (Bank vole), 4578 nucleotides long. It is a transcript of the gene named non-SMC condensin II complex subunit G2, with no coding region annotated. The record is from RefSeq and is a predicted model, not a curated record. Lineage: Eukaryota; Metazoa; Chordata; Mammalia; Rodentia; Cricetidae.
GUUGUCUGGCGGCAGACGGCCGCGGCUGGGCGACGCGACCAGUCCGGGUCUCUUGUUCUCGCCCGCCAUCGGUCUCGGACGCUUGUGGCGUGGGAGAGGUGCUGCGGGAGGGCAGAGCAGGACCCGGGCAGACUACGAAGGACCCUAGACCAGGACAGGGGCUCACCGGGGAGGAGCUCAGCCUUGAACCCGGGCUGACUAGGACCUGGGUGCGGACGAGGGAGGACCCCGGAAGAAGAUCUGGGUAUGACUAGAGAGAUCGCUCAGAAAAAUACUCGAGCUGACUAGAGAGAACUCCAGAACUAGACCUGGGCUCACCAGGGAGGAUCUCAGUCAGACCAGGACCUGAUGCUCACAGCGGACGACUGGACUUGUACUUGGGGUGAAGAGGAGGCUGCUGAAGCGAGGAGGCAUGAAUGCACCCUCUAACAAGUUCCCAGGGUUGUAAAACAGGCUCCCUUAGAGACAGUUUCAUCUGUCAUGGAAAAACGGGAGACAUUCAUCCAAGCGGUUUCUAAGGAACUGGUUGAGGAGUUUCUGCAGUUUGUUCAACUUGAUAAAGAUUCUUCUGAACCUUUCAGUUUAAGUGAGUUACUAGACGAAUUAUCAAGGAAACAGAAAGAGGAAUUAUGGCAAAGGCUGAAGGACUUACUAACAGAAACGCUGUUAGAAAGCCCCGUGGAUGGGUGGCAGACAGUGGAAGACCAGGGUGAAGAUGGAAUGGAAUCAGAGCCCAGUCCAAAGAUGAAAAAGAGCAUAGAAAUAAUACAUGCCAUUACAUCUGUAAUUCUCGCUUCUGUAUCUGUAAUAAAUGAACAUGAGAACUAUGGGGCCCUCCUGGAGUGUGCUGUUAUAUUAAAUGGUAUUUUAUACGCACUACCUGAAUCUGAACAAAAACUCCAGAACUCUAUUCAGGAUCUGUGUGUCAAAUGGUGGGAAAAGGGCCUGCCUGCCAAGGAGGACAUGGGGAAGACUGCAUUUGUUAUGCUGCUGAGGAGAAGUCUGGAGACUAAAACAGGGGCAGACGUGUGUCGGCUGUGGCGCAUCCAUCAGGCUCUGUACUGCUUUGGUUACGAUCUGGAGGAGAACAGAGAAAUUAAAGACAUGCUGCUCGAGUGCUUCAUAAACAUUAAUUACAUCAAGAAGGAAGAGGGAAGAAGGUUUCUUAGUUUUCUUUUCAGUUGGAAUAUAGACUUUAUUAAAAUGAUCCAUGAGACCAUUAAAAAUCAGUUGUCUGGAUUACAAAAGUCUUUGAUGGUACACAUUGCAGAAAUUUAUUUCAGAGCUUGGAAAAAGUCUUCAGGGAAAAUAUUGAAGACCAUUGAGAAUGCCUGCAUCCAGGACUUCAUGUUCCAUGGCAUCCACCUUCCAAGGAGAUCUCCAGUGCACUCCAAAGUGCGAGAGGUGCUGAGUUACUUUCACCAACAGAAAGUCCGCCAGGGAGUGGAAGAGAUGCUGUAUAGGUUAUAUAAGCCCAUCCUGUGGAGAGGACUGAAGGCCAGAAAUUCUGAAGUUCGAUCAAAUGCUGCCUUGCUGUUUGUUGAAGCGUUUCCUGUUAGAGAUCCAAACUUCAUUGCCACUGAAAUGGACAGUGAAAUUCAGAAGCAGUUUGAAGAACUAUAUAGCCUUUUAGAAGAUCCUUAUCCGAGGGUCCGUUCCACAGGCAUCCUUGGUGUUUGUAAGAUAACGUGUAAAUACUGGGAAAUGAUGCCUCCUACCAUUCUUGUUGAUCUCUUGAAGAAAGUCACAGGGGAGCUGGCAUUUGAUACGAGCUCAGCUGAUGUCCGUUGUUCUGUUUUUAAGUGUUUGCCAAUUCUUUUGGAUAACAAACUGAGCCACCCAUUAUUAGAACAGCUUUUGCCACCACUCAGGUAUAGUCUCCAUGAUAAUUCAGAGAAAGUGAGGGUGGCUUUUGUGGAUUUGUUGCUGAAAAUCAAAGCCGUGAGAGCUGCAAAGUUUUGGAAAAUAUGCCCCAUGGAGGACAUUUUGGUUCGCUUGGAAAUGGAUUCUCGGCCUGUGUCUCGGCGCCUGGUGAGCCUCAUCUUCAACUCUUUUCUGCCCGUGAACCAGCCAGAGGAGGUGUGGUGCGAGCGCUGUGUCACACUGAUCCAGAUGAAUCGCGCAGCUGCCAGGAAGUUCUAUCAGUAUGCCCAUGAGCACACCGCCUGCACCAACAUAGCAAAGCUCAUCCAUGUCAUCCGUCACUGCUUGAACGCCUGUAUCCAGAGGACGCUGCAGGAGUGCCCAGAGGCCCAUAAGGAGUGCGAGAAGGAGAACGCCAGCGUACUAGAUAAAACAUUGUCGGUGAGUGAUACUGCAUCCAUGGCAGGUUUACUAGAAGUCAUUGUGAUCCUCUGGAAGAGCAUCCAUAGAAGUCUGGAAAAUAAUAAAGAGGCCAAAGUUUAUACCAUUAACAAGUUUGCAUCUGUGCUUCCAGAGUACCUGAAGGUGUUCAAGGACGAACGCUGCAAGAUCCCCUUGUUCAUGCUAAUGUCCUUCUUGCCAGCCUCUGCUGUCCCUGUGUUCAGUUGUGGUGUGAUUUCUGUCCUGAGAAAUCAGGAGGAGAGUGUUACAGGCAGGAGCUACUGUACCCUGCUGGAUUGUCUCUGUUCCUGGGGGCAAGUGGGGCAUGUUCUGGAGCUCAUUGUUGACUGGCUGACAAUAAGGCCACGUCAGACCAAGAGUAAAGUGCAAAUCAAUGAUACGUGCCCAGUGAGACAUGAGCUAGCAUUGCUGUACAUGGAGUAUUUGCUGACCCAUCCAAAGAAUCGAGAGUGUCUGCUCUCUGCACCCCAGAAGAAACUUAACCAGCUUUUAAAAGCACUUGAAGGAUCCAAGGCAGAUCUGGAAUUUUUUCUUCAGUCCCCAAGUGGGAAUCCCCUCAACUUCAACAAAGAAGUUGCAUUGCAUGCCUUUGGCCUACACUGUCGACUGAGCGUCCAUCUUCAGUACAAGUUCUCAGAAGAGAAAAUUCAUCUGUCCAUCUUGAAUGAAACUGGCUCUUGGUUAGAAAACAAAGUUUUGCCUCUUCUUCAAGACCAAGAAGAGGAGUUUCUGAAGCUUCGGAGGGAUGUCUAUCAGCAGGUCAUCCAGACGUACCUGGCUGUGGGUAAAGAUGUUGUCAUGGUGGGCCUUGGAGACCCUAAAUUUCAGAUACAUCUUUUACAGUGGAGUCUCGGAAUAAUGAAAACAGUGAAGGAAUUUUUUUACAUUUCAUUACUUCUUGACAUUCUCAAGGAGAUAGCUGGAAGCUCCAUGAUUCAGAAAACAGAUUCAGAAGAAGUCACAGUGCUGUUUGAUUUAGUGCAGGAAGUAUUUCAAAAAAUGUUGGAAUGUGUUGCUUGGACCUUCCGGAAGAAGCCAGAAGAAAGUCUGCAGCUCUUUCAUUCUGUGAAGUCCCCUCUUCAUGAAUUUAUCAGCACUAUUCAGUCCUGGUGCAAGGACACUGCAGUCCAUCAUGGUAUACUUUCUACUCUGAUUGCUGCCCUUGUGGUUGAGAUAAGUCAUCAGCUGCAGAAGGUUUCUGAUAUAGAAGAGCUGACCACACCACAAUGUCCUGCUGACCUUCCUCCAUUUUCAAGGUGUUUAGUUGGUGUAAUAAUGAAGUCUUCGGAUGUGGUCAGGUCAUUUUUGGAUGAGCUAAAGGCUUGUGUAACCUCUGGUGAUAUUGAAGGCAUUGUGUGCCUCACAGCUGUUCUGCAUGUUAUUUUGGUUAUUAAUAAAGGUAAACAUAGAAGUGCAAAGCUGAAGGAGGUUGUAGAGACUGUGAACAGAAAGCUGAAGACAUUUAUGGAGAUCACUUUGGAAGAGGAUAGUCUAGAAAGUGUUCUGCAGGCCAGAAGAGGGCACCAGAUCUUAAUGCAGAUGGUUGUGAGCCUCCAUGUGGUUGCUUGGAAUUGAACUCAGGACCUCUGGAAGAGCAGCCAGUGCUCUUAACCACCGAGCCAUCUCUCCAGCCCUUCCACUCCUUCUGUUUUUUAAAGUCUUCAUCGAAAAGCCAGGUGUUAUUCUGAUGGGCUUGCCUUUAUGUGUUCCUGUAUGAAUCAUCAAUAAGAACUUUGGGAGAGUUUCUAAAUUCAUGACAACACCACCAUCUUUGAGUGUGUAGAAAUAGACUCAUGAAAGUGAAAUGUGUGUAUAUCUUUCUUGCCUUUUCUUCUUUUGUCAGACUAAGCCUGAAGUCCUGAGUCUGUAGUUACCCAAAGAUGAGGCCAGUAGAGCGCACUGGUGCUCUGCUCUACACGCUGUGCCUUUAAUCAGCUGGCGGUCAUGGAGAGUGGUGAAGAUGUGGAGAAAGACUGGCAAGCAGCUCGCACUCUCACCAGAAGCCUUGGCAAUUCGUCUGGGAACUGUGGCCUUGGCCAGCUCCUGAGUUCGUUGGCCUAUAACUUAUCUACUAUUUAUUAUUUGUUAUGAAAUUUUCGCCGGAACAGAUUUCUCUUUGACCUUUCAGCAGGGCUACCAUUAGUCCACACAGAACCUUUGCUCAAAUGAUGAAAAGAAUCACUCUGCCAAGACAUUUUACUAAACUGCCUUCUAUUGUACAGUUGUAAUAAACACACAAAUAUAUAGCAUUGA